Molecule: ribosomal RNA, 253 nt
Filed under: uncultured bacterium
Lineage: Bacteria
Description: partial 16S ribosomal RNA
Rfam family: Bacterial small subunit ribosomal RNA
Source: RNAcentral
CACGUAGGGCGCAAGCGUUGUCCGGAAUUAUUGGGCGUAAAGAGCUCGUAGGCGGUCUGUUGCGUCCGCUGUGAAAACUCGGGGCUUAACCCCGAGCCUGCAGUGGAUACGGGCAGACUAGAGGUAGGUAGGGGAGAAUGGAAUUCCCGGUGUAGCGGUGAAAUGCGCAGAUAUCGGGAGGAACACCGGUGGUGUAGACGGCUCUCUGGACCGUAACUGACGCUGAGGCACGAAAGCGUGGGUAGCAAACAGG